GUUGUCAUCUUUGACACACACAUUUCAUGGCGGUGAUCAACCAAAUUAUUAAAGCGUCUGUUAAACAUUUAAACUUUUGUUGUAAACUCUUUGUUCCAUAGCAUAACAUAAUUAAACCAUGUCAUGAAAUGUAAGCUCUGGUAUAUAUUCUAUUUCAGGCGCGUCUGAACUUUUACUGCAUCUAGAUUAAAAGGUCCCAAAAAGAAAACUAAUAUCAUAUAUGUCAUUGUUAGGUUAAGUGCUCAACCGAU
Molecule: long non-coding RNA, 251 nt
Filed under: Mytilus galloprovincialis (Mediterranean mussel)
Lineage: Eukaryota; Metazoa; Mollusca; Bivalvia; Mytilida; Mytilidae
Source: RNAcentral